This is an RNA transcript of Folsomia candida, 2109 nucleotides long. RefSeq lists it as uncharacterized. The record is from RefSeq and is a predicted model, not a curated record. Lineage: Eukaryota; Metazoa; Arthropoda; Collembola; Entomobryomorpha; Isotomidae. The transcript is spliced from 4 exons.
UGGGUGGGUAAAAUGGGUUUUAGCCACCCACCCCAAAGCCCCGCAAGUGGGGAAAAUGGACAAAAUGGGGAAAACACUUUUUUGGGGCAAAACGAUUCACUGUUUCACUCUCAACUUGAAAGAUAAAGUAAUUCAGCAUAUUAAAUAACACGAAAGCUCUGAAAAUUAUAAAAAAUAUAGAUAAUUGCUGACUCUGUAAUCCUUUCUUCGAAAUUGUUUGCAUUUCCAUCUUCAUGUGUAAAGUUAUAUUAGGUUGUUGAUUCAUAUUUGCUAUCACUGGCAAGAUCUAAUGACAAAAGAUAAUUUGUAUCCUUUAUGAGAGAUUAAAAUGAAUGUAAAUUUUUAGGAUAUUUCGUUUUUAUCCAGAAUUUACCCAGAGUGUAGUUUUAUUUUUACGAAACUGGGAAUUUUAAACCUAAUUAUUUAACGGUAAAAUAAAAAAAUCGAGUGGUUUAUUUAAUAAACAGUAAGAACAGAACACAACAAGGAAAAUAAACUACCCCCAAUGGUGGUGGUGGUCCACCACGUCACUAUAACCCGUCAUACCCAUUUUCCCCACUACCCACCCAUUUUCCCCAUUUUUUCCAUUUUACCCACUGGGCUGGGGAUUAAGCUCAAAAGGUUUUUUAUCAGUACAAAGGACCCCAAGGGAUUCCUUCUCUCAACCAGCGUUCAAAAAGGCCGGAAUAAAAAUUGACAGCACGUCUGGUACCUAUGAGCUAGACGCUGAGGCUGUACGAAUAGUGACAAAUGCAGAAUCCUCAAUCUUAACGUCAAGGACGGUAAUUGGCACAAUUACGUCAGCAGGCCCUAGUGAUUUACGCAUGCCAGUUCUCUUAUCCCUGGACAAUUUCACAUUUCAUGGAGGUGUGGAAUUAAGCGAUCAAUUAUACUUCUUUCACUGCCUUACUACACCCUGUUCGUUCAAUGGACUAAUUAAUAUUUUAUCAGACCUGGACUUCAGUAUAUUGGAGAUCAAAGUGUCAUCCUCGCACCCGAUGAGCCAGAAAAUAAUUCUUGUAAGAGGCCUGAGUAAAACUUCGGCGAUCCUGGGGAAAGAAUAUUUUGCAUCUUUAAACGGAAUUAAUAUGUUGACAGGAGUAGCAUUCGAUGAAUGAAGUAGGCCUCAUUACCCAAUCUCAUGCAAUCUUAAUCUCAAUCUUAUGCAAUGCAAAACAUGUAAAUAUGUAUAUGUGCUUAAAUAUUUGUUAUUACCAUAAAUGGGAGGAACUUUUUGUAUGCAAAAUUAUUUGUCAUUAUCUUUAAUGCGAAGUUCAAAACAAAAUCCGUUACACAUGGAUGCAGUAUUUUCUCCUAACUUCGAUACCUGUGUACCACAUGACUCGAUAUUUUAGUAAAAAUGUGAGAGCAUUGCAUCAUGAUAUGCAUAGGAUGCAGUCCCAGUUCUGCUUGCACGGCCCUAUGCCUGAUUAAACACACACCCAAUGUCAAUAGACAGUAAACACAGGUACAUGUACAUAAAUAUGUACACAUGUAUACCCCGCAAAACUAACGAGUCCUUUGCAUAUAUGUACAUAUAUAAUGUAUAAGUCAUUAGAUAUUUAUAUGUUUAAAUUACUAAUUGACCAGAAAGGGCAAGCCUCUCAUACGAACAAUGUCAAUAUUCCUACAUUUCUCUCCUCCCUUUAGUGGUUAGUAUUUUUUUUUGUGAAAUUUAUCUCUCGAUCGCAAGAACUCGAAACGUAUAUUUACAAGUCAAAAUUGGUUCAAGAGUGUAUAUUUAUUUAAUUUCAGCGUAAUUAUUAAAUCCACACGGCUUCUAUACAUACAUAUACAUAUUUAUAUAGCGACCCCCAUUGAUAAUAGAUUAUACUGCUUCAAACGUAUGUACAUAAUAAUUAGUGCUUAAAAGUUUAAUUGUUUAGGUAAACCUUUUGACAAAUAUCCUGUGGUGAAAAAUAUCCGUUCCGCUGAGACAGUUUUACUUAUUUAAGAAGUUUAGCUUAAUUUGAAAGACGUCAAAGUCUCAGCUUGAGUUGGACUUUCUACACUUUGAGAAGUAUUGAUUAAAGUGUUGUAGCAACUUAUAUUUAGCUCGUUGAUACAUUCAUUAGUUAGAUACAUGCAAAUUUGCGCAUCAAAAUUUCU